AGUUCAACAACAAGACUACUUCUUGGAAUUGAUUUAGAACAUGUUAUGAACUAAAUAACAUGCAUGAAUUAGAAUCAAAAUUGAAAUUAUAGGCUAAGAAUUGAAAGAAUACCUAAAAAAAUGUAUCCAAAAUUCAACCAACAAAAUCAAAAUUCAACACAAACUUAGAACAUAAUGUGACAAUUAUUAUGACUAAACAUGACUCUAAGACAACAUGGAUUAAU
Molecule: long non-coding RNA, 224 nt
Filed under: Glycine max (soybean)
Lineage: Eukaryota; Viridiplantae; Streptophyta; Magnoliopsida; Fabales; Fabaceae
Description: long non-coding RNA (GMAX_LNC001276)
Source: RNAcentral